GAUCAAACAUGAUGAGGGGGCCGGAGGCUAAAAUGUACAAAGACUGGUUACAGGAAUUGGAUUAGUCUAAUGAAAAGAAGGACUGGGGGAGACACGAUAGCAGCCUUACAAUUUUUGAGUGGCUCCUCCCAAGAU
Notechis scutatus (mainland tiger snake) is the source of this 135-nucleotide non-coding RNA. NCBI's taxonomy places the organism in Eukaryota, Metazoa, Chordata, Lepidosauria, Squamata, Elapidae. The record is from RefSeq and is a predicted model, not a curated record.